GCUAAACACCCUUCCUAAUUAUCCACGAUUACUGUUAUUCUAAACCAAAUCACACGGCGUCUUCACGGGCGAUUGGAUCUGAGCUUGAGGCGGAGAUGGCGGAGGACGGAGGCAGAGGCCGCCGUCUCUGCCGGUCGACAACGGAGAAAACGGCCGCAACCGAGGAGGACGGCCAUGGAGGGGAGGGUGCUUGCCUCGAUCCGGAUGAGGGGAGCAGCAGCUGCGACCUCGAUGCGGAUGAGGAGAGCAGCAACCGCGCCCCUGUUCUUCGAGGCGCGGCGGCCGGCGGCCUCGGCUAGGAGCUUUGCCCUCUUAUUCCCGCGCGGUGCAGCGGCGACCUGAGGACGAGUUCGAGACAUAGUGGUGGUUCCAGCACACGACGCCGGGGGAGGCGGCGGUGCUUCCUUGCCUUGUCUAUUCUCCUUAUCUGAGGUCCGUCCGACGGCAGAUGCACACCCGACAUCGUCAUGGAGGCUCCGACCCCGAGGCACCCUCUCUGCUUCCUUCUGGUUGCAUCUCCCCCUGGUGAGCUCCUUCUUUCUUCAGUUCCUCGUAAUUAUUUUUCAUUCUGCAGUAGGGUAUGGGUGCCCGGGUCUCUUUUAACUUAAUCCCCACAAAUUCUCAUAUUGCUAUGUGCAGAUUCUAUUUUAUCCAUGCCUACAUGGUGCACAACAGAACUCCUAACAGGCUUGCAAUCUCACGCGUAAGGGAAGAUGUGUUCCUCUCUGGCUAGCACCUGCUCGAUCAAAUGCCUAGCCAUUUCAAUCGUUUAUUGUAGGAAAUAUAAGGUGCACCCAAAUAGGAGGCCAUUCUGUGCAGCCUAUUCUUUUUGGUUCUAGGAAUCCUAUGGUAGAGGGUGGUGUUAGUUCUAUAAAUAACUUUCAGACAUUUGUAGUUUUUCAGGUUGUAGCGUGACAACUUUGAUCAAAAUUUGUUUCAGUUGACUCUACAUUCCAUUCGUUGAUUUUGUGUUCUUAACUGAAAGCAGAGUUUGUUGAUCUAUGUGACUUGGAUUAGUAUUCUUCUCUUUGCUAUGCUAAUAUUCACCUUGCUUCAGUUGACCCCACUUUCCGUUCGUUGAUUUUGUGUUCUUAACUGAAAGCAGAGUUUGUUGGUGUAAGUGACUUGGAUCAGUAUUCUUCUUUUUGCAUAUGCUAAUAUUCACCUCUAACAGCUGCUAAAGUAUCAUGGCAUUAUACCAAACUCUGCUCUGCCCAAAUUUUCCAGGCCUGAAGAGAGGAAGAGUAGGCCGGCGGCAAGGAUCCAGUGACGACUGCCUCCGUAGCGCAGAUACUUUGGAUCUAUGUGCUUUGGCCAAAUUGGUCAGGCCUGAGACUGAUUAGAAGACCUUUUCUGAUAUCCUUGAAUUAGCCGUGGAAGGCAGAGGAAGUAGAGAUAAAAAUGACAGAUGGGCCUGGAAGAUACACCAGAAACAGAAGAAAAAGUUCUCAAAAUUGCGGAAGAGCGAUAUAGAGGCCGGUGAUCAACUCUAAGCUCCACUUACAAGGCAUACAAAACAGAUGCAGCUAGAUUGGCUAAUCUGUCGGAAGAUUUACAACCGGAAGAGUGAAUGGAUGAUUGAGUACUUUGGCACUCAUUCAAAAUUUCAGGAACACAACUGAAAGAACACCGAUAACCGUAAGAAACAGAAGACAAAACACAAAAUUAGAUCAAAAUCUUACUCGCAACUAAGUUUUGAGAAGGUAUGAAUCUAACUAAAUAUGUAUGCCUCGCUGCUAACUCUCACCUAGGCGAAGAAUGGAACAUGGUCUAACACAGAGUCCCAGGAUGUUUAAGACAAAACACGUCAAGAGGUUGAAAACAAAGAAACUGAAACUCAUGGUCCAUUUUCAAGAUCCAAAGAAUUAGCUCGACUGGACUCUAGAUCACACACAGUUUAGUCUUGGCACUUAAUUGGGAUGGCUAAAUUACAUUUGAGUUUCAUUUGAUGGAUAUUUACUAUGAGAAUUAUGAAUUUUAUUAAUCUACAUAUUAUACGUAUGGUUUUGAAUAUUGUAAUUGAUUGCCUGUAUUUUUUUUAGGUUGCAAUAGGCUAUUGCCACAACCCACUUUUGGUUGCCACAUGUUAGCACCACAAAAGUUAAAAUUGUCACAAUAGUUUCUCGC
RNAcentral lists this ribosomal RNA (2127 nucleotides) under Triticum aestivum (bread wheat). RNAcentral's name for it is "partial small subunit ribosomal RNA". The record is from RNAcentral. Lineage: Eukaryota; Viridiplantae; Streptophyta; Magnoliopsida; Poales; Poaceae.